This 465-nucleotide ribosomal RNA is filed under the name uncultured bacterium. RNAcentral's name for it is "partial 16S ribosomal RNA". It matches the Rfam family "Bacterial small subunit ribosomal RNA", at positions 338 to 795 of the family's 1533-position model. The record is from RNAcentral.
CCUACGGGAGGCAGCAGUGGGGAAUUUUGCGCAAUGCUCGUGAGCGUGACGCAGCGACGCCGCGUGAGUGACGAAUGCCUUCUGGUCGUAAAGUUCUUUCGACAGGGAAGAAAAUGCCUAUAAGUAACUGUUUCUGUCUUGACGGUACCUGUAUAAGCAGCCCCGGCUAACUCCGUGCCAGCAGCCGCGGUAAUACGGAGGGGGCGAGCGUUGUUCGGAGUGACUGGGCGUAAAGAGCACGUAGGCGGUGUUGUAAGUCAUUAGGCAAAGACUAGAGCGCAACCUUAGUAAGGCUAGUGAUACUAUAAUACUAGAGUACCAGAGAGGAGGGCAGAAUUCCUGGUGUAGCGGUGAAAUGCGUAGAUAUCAGGAGGAAUACCGUUAGCGAAGGCGGCAAGCUGGAUGGAAACUGACGCUGAGGUGCGAAAGCGUGGGUAGCAAACAGGAUUAGAUACCCCUGUAGUC